This 494-nucleotide ribosomal RNA is filed under the name uncultured bacterium. RNAcentral describes it as "partial 16S ribosomal RNA". It matches the Rfam family "Bacterial small subunit ribosomal RNA", at positions 28 to 507 of the family's 1533-position model. The record is from RNAcentral.
GACGAACGCUGGCGGCGUGCUUAACACAUGCAAGUCGAACGGAAAGGCCUGCUUUCCCUUGUGGAUUGCGGGUACUCGAGUGGCGAACGGGUGAGUAACACGUGAGUGAUCUGCCUCCAACUUGGGUAUAAGCCUGGGAAACUGGGUCUAAUUCCCGAUAGGACUGCAGGGUGGUGCCUGUGGUGGAAAACGAUUUUCUAGUGGUUGGGGAUGAGCUCGCGGCCUAUCAGCUUGUUGGUGGGGUAAUGGCCUACCAAGGCGGCGACGGGUAGCCGGCCUGAGAGGGUGGACGGCCACAUUGGGACUGAGAUACGGCCCAGACUCCUACGGGAGGCAGCAGUGGGGAAUAUUGCACAAUGGGCGGAAGCCUGAUGCAGCGACGCCGCGUGGGGGAUGACGGCCUUCGGGUUGUAAACUCCUUUCGACCGCGAGGAAGCCACCUGGUUGGAAGGGUGGUGACGGUAGUGGUAGAAGAAGCACCGGCUAACUACGUG